AGCGCACGCAGGCGGUUUGUUCAGUCAGAUGUGAAAUCCCCGGGCACCACCUGGGAAAUGCAACCGAUACUGGCAGGCAUGAGUCUCGUAGAGGGGGUCAGAGUGCCAGGUGUAGCGGUGAAAUUCGGAGAGAUCUGGAGGAAUGCCGGGUGCGAAGGCGGCCCCCUGGGCGAAGACUGACGCUCAGGUGCGAAAGCGUAGGGAGC
RNAcentral lists this ribosomal RNA (206 nucleotides) under Escherichia coli. RNAcentral's name for it is "partial 16S ribosomal RNA". It matches the Rfam family "Bacterial small subunit ribosomal RNA", at positions 564 to 769 of the family's 1533-position model. The record is from RNAcentral. Lineage: Bacteria; Pseudomonadati; Pseudomonadota; Gammaproteobacteria; Enterobacterales; Enterobacteriaceae.